Molecule: transfer RNA, 73 nt
Filed under: Exophiala mesophila
Lineage: Eukaryota; Fungi; Ascomycota; Eurotiomycetes; Chaetothyriales; Herpotrichiellaceae
Also listed under: 1 other name
Description: partial tRNA-His
Rfam family: tRNA
About the family: Transfer RNA (tRNA) molecules are approximately 80 nucleotides in length. Their secondary structure includes four short double-helical elements and three loops (D, anti-codon, and T loops). Further hydrogen bonds mediate the characteristic L-shaped molecular structure. tRNAs have two regions of fundamental functional importance: the anti-codon, which is responsible for specific mRNA codon recognition, and the 3' end, to which the tRNAs corresponding amino acid is attached (by aminoacyl-tRNA synthetases). tRNAs cope with the degeneracy of the genetic code in two manners: having more than one tRNA (with a specific anti-codon) for a particular amino acid; and 'wobble' base-pairing, i.e. permitting non-standard base-pairing at the 3rd anti-codon position.
Source: RNAcentral
GUGGAUGUAGCUCAAUCGGUAGAGCAACUGUAUGUGGCACAGUAGGUUUUCUGUUCAAGUCAGGGUAUCCACC